Molecule: ribosomal RNA, 447 nt
Filed under: uncultured bacterium
Lineage: Bacteria
Description: SSU rRNA
Rfam family: Bacterial small subunit ribosomal RNA
Source: RNAcentral
AGAACGAACGCUGGCGGCAUGCCUAACACAUGCAAGUCGAACGCGUGUAGCGAUACACGAGUGGCGGACGGGUGAGUAACGCGUGGGAACCUGCCCUGGAGUGUGGGAUAACCGAGGGAAACUUCGGCUAAUACCGCAUACGACCUGAGGGUGAAAGAUUUAUCGCUCUAGGAGGGGCCCGCGUCGGAUUAGCUAGUUGGUGGGGUAAAGGCCUACCAAGGCAGUGAUCCGUAGCUGGUCUGAGAGGAUGAUCAGCCACACUGGGACUGAGACACGGCCCAGACUCCUACGGGAGGCAGCAGUGGGAAUAUUGGACAAUGGGGGCAACCCUGAUCCAGCAAUGCCGCGUGAGUGAUGAAGGCCUUAGGGUUGUAAAGCUCUUUCGCGCGCGACGAUGAUGACGGUAGCGCGAGAAGAAGCCCCGGCUAACUUCGUGCCAGCAGCCGC